RNAcentral lists this ribosomal RNA (253 nucleotides) under uncultured bacterium. Its description in RNAcentral is "partial 16S ribosomal RNA". It matches the Rfam family "Bacterial small subunit ribosomal RNA", at positions 524 to 776 of the family's 1533-position model. The record is from RNAcentral.
UACGUAGGGGGCUAGCGUUGUCCGGAAUCAUUGGGCGUAAAGCGCGCGUAGGCGGCCCAGUAAGUCCGUUGUAAAAGUCAAAGGCUCAACCUUUGAAAGCCGAUGGAUACUGCUGGGCUAGAGUCCGGAAGAGGCGAGUGGAAUUCCUGGUGUAGCGGUGGAAUGCGCAGAUAUCAGGAGGAACACCGAUGGCGAAGGCAGAUCUCUGGGCCGUAACUGACGCUGAGGAGCGAAAGCAUGGGGAGCGAACAGG